GAGUCAGACCCAUUUAAGGAAAUGUGGAAGGAGAAAUGCUCCAGGCUCCUCCCCGUUUCCCAAAAAGAACAAAAUGAAUGGAGACAAGCCGUGAACUUGGCUUUAUCACUCUCUUGCAUGGUCUGGCUUUAGGGGAAGAAAGAAGACCAGGGAGGAAAUCUGCAGUUACCAGAGAUGUCUCCAAGAGCACCAGCAACCCCAGCUAUCUGGAUCUGAAGUGGAUAUGCUCAGAGACAUCCUGGCCCACCCCAAAGAAGAUGCUGCUGCACUCAGAAGACGCCAGAGCUAGCCACCACCCACACUGCAAGUCUGGAAGCUCUGCAAGGACCCAGCAAGGCAGCCUGCUCAGCGAAGGCUUUGUCUCCUGUGGCAGGAAGAGCAACAUUAAGAACAAGAACCCCGGGCUGGACUACCCCUGAGAUUUAAUGACCAGAGCUGAGACCCCCAAGACCACAAUGACUAUGGAGGGCUGUCAUUACCCUGCCUGACCCUCUAAUGCCUCUCAGUUCAAGGAGGCCACUGAGUGAAACUGAAGGCUGGUUUUCCUUGGAAGCCAGCGGCCCAUCCACCUGCUCCACUUCCCUGCCUCUUGCAGCCUCCGCUCAAACACUGUCGUGGCUUGGCAGCACUACAAGGCAGAGUGAAAACAGAUACUUCUACCCACAUUCCUAUCUCCUCUCAUUUACGCAGAUUAAAUGCUUUCUUUCCUUGUUUUACACUGC
This 722-nucleotide long non-coding RNA is filed under the name Homo sapiens (human). RNAcentral's name for it is "long intergenic non-protein coding RNA 2981". Lineage: Eukaryota; Metazoa; Chordata; Mammalia; Primates; Hominidae. The record is from RNAcentral.